CCGUCAUUAGCUCAACUGGAUAGAGCAUCAGGCUAUUAACCUGAGGGUAGUGGGUUCGAAUCCCGCAUGACGUGCCA
RNAcentral lists this transfer RNA (77 nucleotides) under Thermoanaerobaculia bacterium. Its description in RNAcentral is "tRNA-Asn". It matches the Rfam family "tRNA". Rfam says of the family: Transfer RNA (tRNA) molecules are approximately 80 nucleotides in length. Their secondary structure includes four short double-helical elements and three loops (D, anti-codon, and T loops). The record is from RNAcentral. Lineage: Bacteria; Pseudomonadati; Acidobacteriota; Thermoanaerobaculia.